Molecule: antisense RNA, 177 nt
Filed under: Capsicum annuum
Lineage: Eukaryota; Viridiplantae; Streptophyta; Magnoliopsida; Solanales; Solanaceae
Description: Antisense RNA which regulates isiA expression
Rfam family: Antisense RNA which regulates isiA expression
Source: Rfam by way of RNAcentral
AAUAACUAAAAAUAUGAUGCUCGGGCAAAGAGUCAAGUCGGUAAGUUUUCUUACAUCUCCCCCUCCCGGAGCCCAGGUGCCAUAUACGCUCCCCAAAUAAGAGUCUUGAUUACUAGAAGAGAAGAACAUAUACCUAACAAGAUUAAUUGAAUACAUCAUUUUAUUUCGAUCUUUCCA